GCAGAGGAUACCCUGCGGUCGGGGAAUUGCCUUUUGGUGACAGAAGGAAAUACCGGACGAACGGACGGUCUUCGGGGAGCGGGUGCCUGUCAUCUCGCUGAUAAAAGCACCAUCCUCCGCGCUGCCGCAAUAGACGCCCUGGUAGGGAAUAAGCCGGGUCAGGAACAGAAAUGCCAAACUGUUCAAACCCCGGUAAGGCAAGAAGGCAGUCGUGUCGUUGUUGAUGCCGGGAAUACCGGCUAUAAGCGGAGGCAAGGGGUACGAGUAGUCCAAAGCAACGAGUUGUCUUAAAAGACCGCACCCUCUUUCGCAAAACUGUGGACGGUGGAUGAAAGUUAGGGGUAAGCAAUCCCCUGCAGGGCUCGCGGGUUAACCGUCAUGGUGUAGCUAACCAUGGCUCACAUUAAUCUUCCUGCCGGCUGAACAUACAGAAGAGAUGAAAGGUGGUAAGGCGAAGGCCUGCU
This 464-nucleotide small RNA is filed under the name bovine gut metagenome. RNAcentral describes it as "ROOL RNA". It matches the Rfam family "ROOL RNA", at positions 83 to 555 of the family's 574-position model. From Rfam's summary of the family: Firmicutes, Fusobacteria (1 example), Tenericutes (1 example). Environment (Cow rumen (57)) The record is from RNAcentral.